This is a non-coding RNA of Paramuricea clavata, 329 nucleotides long. Lineage: Eukaryota; Metazoa; Cnidaria; Anthozoa; Malacalcyonacea; Plexauridae. The record is from the annotation of a GenBank genome assembly.
CAAGUGUCAAGUUACAUUUUAAGCAACUUGGAUCAGAUUUCAACUUUUCGACAAUCCAACACGGCUUGUUAACUUAAAUUAAAGAAAGUAACAAACAAGAAUAUAUAUUUCUAGACCGACCGAUCACUUACCGAUAUGGUUUUUAUUUAUACUAUUAUUAACUGCGAGUAAAGUCUGUCAUGUCACUCAAACCCAUUGUAACGAAAUAGCGAGAUCCUUAAUUGAUUUGAUUUCCGAAAUAUAUCGGCAACUGCAAAUGUCGCUAGCUGUAAAGUGUGUGAAACAAAACGCUUAAAAUUCUUAAAUUAAAGAUUUCUGUUGCCAGGAAC